GAGUUUGAUCCUGGCUCAGAACGAACGUUGGCGGCGUGGAUUAGGCAUGCAAGUCGAGCGGGAUCUGAUUUUUUCAAUUCUUCGGAAGAGAAGUUAUCAGUGAGAGCGGCGAACGGGUGAGUAAUAAAUGGGUAAUUUGCCUCUUUGUUCGGGAUAGCCAUCGGAAACGAUGAUUAAUACCGAAUGUGUUCGGGUGCUUCAUGGCACCCUCUAUAAAGGCGGGGAUUCUUCGGAACCUGUCGCAAAGAGAUAAGCCCAUUUCCUAUCAGCUAGUUGGUGAGGUAACGGCUCACCAAGGCUUACGGGUAGCGGGUCUGAGAGGAUGAUCCGCCACACUGGGACUGAGACACUGCCCAGACUCCUACGGGAGGCUGCAGUCGAGAAUCAUUGUCAAUGCACGAAAGUGUGAACAUGCGACGCCGCGUGGAGGAAGACGGCCUUUGGGUUGUAAACUCCUGUCAGCAGGGAGUAAGAAUAGAUCACUUAAUACGUGUUUUAUUUGAUAGUACCCGCAGAGGAAGUCACGGCUAACUCUGUGCCAGCAGCCGUGGUAAUACAGAGGUGGCGAACGUUGUUCGGAUUUACUGGGCGUAAAGGGUCCGCAGGCGGUCUUGUGUGUCAGAUGUGAAAGCCCACAGCUUAACUGUGGAAUUGCAUUUGAAACUGCAGGACUAGAGUACUGGAGGGGAGAAGGGAACACUUGGUGUAGCGGUGAAAUGCGUAGAUAUCAAGUGGAACACCGGCGGCGAAGGCGCUUCUCUGGACAGAUACUGACGCUCAUGGACGAAAGUUAGGGUAGCGAAAGGGAUUAGAUACCCCUGUAGUCCUAACCGUAAACGGUGUGCACUAGACGUGGGAGGCUUUACCCCCUUCCGUGUCUGAGCUAACGCAUUAAGUGCACCGCCUGGGGAGUACGGUCGCAAGAUUAAAACUCAAAGGAAUUGACGGGGACCCGCACAAGCGGUGGAGCAUGCGGCU
RNAcentral lists this ribosomal RNA (978 nucleotides) under uncultured bacterium. Its description in RNAcentral is "bacterial SSU rRNA". It matches the Rfam family "Bacterial small subunit ribosomal RNA", at positions 9 to 946 of the family's 1533-position model. The record is from RNAcentral.